This 466-nucleotide ribosomal RNA is filed under the name uncultured bacterium. RNAcentral describes it as "partial 16S ribosomal RNA". It matches the Rfam family "Bacterial small subunit ribosomal RNA", at positions 28 to 507 of the family's 1533-position model. The record is from RNAcentral.
GACGAACGCUGGCGGCGUGCUUAACACAUGCAAGUCGAACGGUAAGGCUCCAGCUUGCUGGGGUACACGAGUGGCGAACGGGUGAGUAACACGUGGGUGACCUGCCCUGCACUUCGGGAUAAGCCUGGGAAACUGGGUCUAAUACCGGAUAGGACCAUGGUGUGGAUACUGUGGUGGAAAGUUUUUUCGGUGUGGGAUGGGCCCGCGGCCUAUCAGCUUGUUGGUGGGGUAAUGGCCUACCAAGGCGGCGACGGGUAGCCGGCCUGAGAGGGUGGACGGCCACAUGGGGACUGAGACACGGACCAGACUCCUACGGGAGGCAGCAGUGGGGAAUAUUGCACAAUGGGCGGAAGCCUGAUGCAGCGACGCCGCGUGGGGGAUGACGGCCUUCGGGUUGUAAACUCCUUUCACCAUCGACGAAGGGUUUCUGACGGUAGAUGGAGAAGAAGCACCGGCUAACUACGUG